RNAcentral lists this ribosomal RNA (253 nucleotides) under uncultured bacterium. Its description in RNAcentral is "partial 16S ribosomal RNA". It matches the Rfam family "Bacterial small subunit ribosomal RNA", at positions 524 to 776 of the family's 1533-position model. The record is from RNAcentral.
UACGUAGGGUGCAGGCGUUAAUCGGAAUUACUGGGCGUAAAGGGUGCGUAGGCGGUUCGUUAAGUCUGUCGUGAAAUCCCCGGGCUCAACCUGGGAAUGGCGAUGGAUACUGGCGAGCUAGAGUGUGUCAGAGGAUGGUGGAAUUCCCGGUGUAGCGGUGAAAUGCGUAGAGAUCGGGAGGAACAUCAGUGGCGAAGGCGGCCAUCUGGGACAACACUGACGCUGAAGCACGAAAGCGUGGGGAGCAAACAGG